Molecule: ribosomal RNA, 445 nt
Filed under: uncultured bacterium
Lineage: Bacteria
Description: bacterial SSU rRNA
Rfam family: Bacterial small subunit ribosomal RNA
Source: RNAcentral
UCCAGACUCCUACGGGAGGCAGCAGUGGGGGAUAUUGCACAAUGGGGGCAACCCUGAUGCAGCGACGCCGCGUGAGCGAUGGAGUACUUCGGUAUGUAAAGCUCUGUCAGCAGGGAAGAGAAUGACGGUACCUGACCAAGAAGCCCCGGCUAAAUACGUGCCAGCAGCCGCGGUAAUACGUAUGGGGCAAGCGUUAUCCGGAUUUACUGGGUGUAAAGGGAGCGUAGACGGCGAAGAAAGUCUGAAGUGAAAGCCCGCGGCUCAACCGCGGAACUGCUUUGGAAACUUUUUUGCUGGAGUACCGGAGAGGUAAGCGGAAUUCCUAGUGUAGCGGUGAAAUGCGUAGAUAUUAGGAGGAACACCAGUGGCGAAGGCGGCUUACUGGACGGUAACUGACGUUGAGGCUCGAAAGCGUGGGGAGCAAACAGGAUUAGAUACCCUAGUA